AAUCCUUGACAUCCUCAGAACUUGUUAGAAAUAACUUGGUGCCUUCGGGAAUUGAGUGAC
Molecule: ribosomal RNA, 60 nt
Filed under: uncultured bacterium
Lineage: Bacteria
Description: partial 16S ribosomal RNA
Source: RNAcentral